AUACGGAGGGUGCAAGCGUUACUCGGAAUCACUGGGCGUAAAGCGCGCGCAGGCGGUCUUUUAAGUUGGAUGUGAAAGCCUACGGCUCAACCGUAGAACUGCAUCCAAAACUAUUAGACUAGAGUGUGGGAGAGGAAGAUGGAAUUAGUUGUGUAGGGGUAAAAUCCGUAGAGAUAACUAGGAAUACCAAAAGCGAAGGCAAUCUUCUGGAACACUACUGACGCUGAGGCGCGAAAGCGUGGGGAGCAAACAGCAUUAGAUACCCUAGUAGUCC
This 274-nucleotide ribosomal RNA is filed under the name uncultured bacterium. Its description in RNAcentral is "partial 16S ribosomal RNA". It matches the Rfam family "Bacterial small subunit ribosomal RNA", at positions 523 to 796 of the family's 1533-position model. The record is from RNAcentral.